UAGGGAAUCUUCGGCAAUGGACGAAAGUCUGACUGAGCAACGCCGCGUGAGUGAAGAAGGUAUUCGGAUCGUAAAACUCUGUUGUUCGAGAAGAACAAGGACGUUAGUAACUGAACGUCCCCUGACGGUAUCUAACCAGAAAGCCACGGCUAACUACGUGCCAGCAGCCGCGGUAAUACGAAGGUGGCAAGCGUUGUCCGGAUUUAUUGGGCGUAAAGCGAGCGCAGGCGGUUUCUUAAGUCGGAUGUGAAAGCCCCCGGCUCAACCGGGGAGGGUCAUUGGGAACUGGGAGACUUGAGUGCAGAAGAGGAGAGUGGAAUUCCAUGUGGAGCGGUGAAAUGCGUAGAUAUAUGGAGGAACACCAGUGGCGAAGGCGGCUCUCUGGUCUGUAACUGACGCUGAGGCUCGAAAGCGUGGGGAGCAAACAGG
Molecule: ribosomal RNA, 429 nt
Filed under: Gemmatimonadota bacterium
Lineage: Bacteria; Pseudomonadati; Gemmatimonadota
Description: Gemmatimonadetes bacterium partial 16S ribosomal RNA
Rfam family: Bacterial small subunit ribosomal RNA
Source: RNAcentral